This 730-nucleotide ribosomal RNA is filed under the name uncultured bacterium. Its description in RNAcentral is "bacterial SSU rRNA". It matches the Rfam family "Bacterial small subunit ribosomal RNA", at positions 771 to 1501 of the family's 1533-position model. The record is from RNAcentral.
AACAGGAUUAGAUACCCUGGUAGUCCACGCCGUAAACGAUGUCGACUUGGAGGUUGUGCCCUUGAGGCGUGGCUUCCGGAGCUAACGCGUUAAGUCGACCGCCUGGGGAGUACGGCCGCAAGGUUAAAACUCAAAUGAAUUGACGGGGGCCCGCACAAGCGGUGGAGCAUGUGGUUUAAUUCGAUGCAACGCGAAGAACCUUACCUACUCUUGACAUCCAGAGAACUUAGCAGAGAUGCUUUGGUGCCUUCGGGAACUCUGAGACAGGUGCUGCAUGGCUGUCGUCAGCUCGUGUUGUGAAAUGUUGGGUUAAGUCCCGCAACGAGCGCAACCCUUAUCCUUUGUUGCCAGCGGUUAGGCCGGGAACUCAAAGGAGACUGCCAGUGAUAAACUGGAGGAAGGUGGGGAUGACGUCAAGUCAUCAUGGCCCUUACGAGUAGGGCUACACACGUGCUACAAUGGCAUAUACAAAGAGAAGCGACCUCGCGAGAGCAAGCGGACCUCAUAAAGUAUGUCGUAGUCCGGAUUGGAGUCUGCAACUCGACUCCAUGAAGUCGGAAUCGCUAGUAAUCGUGGAUCAGAAUGCCACGGUGAAUACGUUCCCGGGCCUUGUACACACCGCCCGUCACACCAUGGGAGUGGGUUGCAAAAGAAGUAGGUAGCUUAACCUUCGGGAGGGCGCUUACCACUUUGUGAUUCAUGACUGGGGUGAAGUCGUAACAAGGUAACC